UACGGGGGGAGCAAGCGUUGUUCGGAUUUACUGGGCGUAAAGGGCGCGUAGGCGGCCAGCACAAGUCAGUUGUGAAAUCUCCGAGCUUAACUCGGAAAGGUCAACUGAUACUGUGCGGCUAGAGUGCGGAAGGGGCAACUGGAAUUCUCGGUGUAGCGGUGAAAUGCGUAGAUAUCGAGAGGAACACCUGCGGCGAAGGCGGGUUGCUGGGCUGAUACUGACGCUGAGGCGCGAAAGCGUGGGGAGCAAACAGG
Molecule: ribosomal RNA, 254 nt
Filed under: uncultured bacterium
Lineage: Bacteria
Description: partial 16S ribosomal RNA
Rfam family: Bacterial small subunit ribosomal RNA
Source: RNAcentral